ACUCCUACGGGAGGCAGCAGUGAGGAAUAUUGGUCAAUGGAGGGAACUCUGAACCAGCCAUCCCGCGUGUAGGAAGACGGCCUUAUGGGUUGUAAACUACUUUUAUACAGAAGAAACGUAACCCCGUGAGGGUGCCUACGGUACNGUAGGAAUAAGCACCGGCUAACUCCGUGCCAGCAGCCGCGGUAAUACGGAGGGUGCGAGCGUUAUCCGGAUUUAUUGGGUUUAAAGGGUCCGUAGGCGGA
This 245-nucleotide ribosomal RNA is filed under the name uncultured bacterium. RNAcentral describes it as "partial 16S ribosomal RNA". It matches the Rfam family "Bacterial small subunit ribosomal RNA", at positions 335 to 579 of the family's 1533-position model. The record is from RNAcentral.